UUUUUUUUAAAAAUUCUAUUUAAACUUAAAUUUAAUAAAAAUAAUUUGCUAUAAAAUUUAUUAAAAUAUUUAAAUAUAAAUAACAUGUAUUAAUAUAGUACAAUUAAUAAUUUUAUAAUAAAAAUAAUGUAAUAUAAUAUAUAACAUAUUAUAUGAUAUAAUUUAUUUUUAAUUCAAUUUAUAAUUUUAAUUAAGUUUGAAAUUAAGCAUUGAAAUAGCACUAUUCUGCUAAAAUGGUGGAAUAGUAAAUCUCAAGCUAUUUCGGAAUAAUUAGGAAUAGUAAGGUUUGACUGGGAUAAAAUAUUUUGAUAAAAAAUUAUUCCGUUUGACGGAAUAGCGGGAAUAACUUUUGUUAUCCCUGCUUAUUCUCUGAACCAAACGGGGCCAAGUGAAGGCACUCAUUCAUUAAGGCCAGCUGAUUCUAUAAAAAUAAAUAAAUAAAGAAGAAAUAGUAAAAAUAUGAAAAAGUUAAAAAAAGUUUAAAAUAGAAAAGAAUAAAAAAUAAAAAGAGGCCGAAGAAGAAAAAGCAACACAUGUUGUAAUAAAAGUAUAAAAAUAAAAAGAUAAGAAGGAUAAAAGAAAAAUAAAGAUAAAAUCAUAAGAUUUAGUAAAUUAUAUUUAAUUAUAGCAGUGAAGGUAUAAAAUAGUAAAGGUAUAUAAAAAGAAUAAAAGAAAAGGUUGAAACAGAACUAGUACGAGCAACGGCAAUUUAAAAUCACUAGAAAAUAGAAAACAAAACAAAAAUAACAACAACAGAAGAAGAAUAAGAAUAUAUUAAUAAAGUAAAAGGCGUAUUUGACUGUCUCAUUUUACGAUUCAUCUGUCACUUUUAUUUCUCAGACAACUACUGCAGAGAGAGAAAGAGAGAGAGAGGAAAAAGCCUCUUGAGUAGGAGUCAGGAAGCUUUUAUGAAUAUAGUGAUUGAUAAGCAUAUGAGAGUGAAAGACAAGGAAAGAGGCAAAAAAAUUCAAAACCAAAUUCAAAACUAUGUGAGAAAGAGAGAAAGAGGAAAAGAGAAAAUGGAUAAAUUCCACGAUCAAAAUGUGUAUACUACGUAUUAGAGUCAAACACCUGGCUAGGGGGAGGCAAUGGCUCAAAUUAUUGUACCCCUAUAUGUUUAAUAUUCAACGAUAAAAAAAUUAAUUAGGAACUUUCGAUCUCAAAGCUUUGGUGUAGUGUUUCCCGUAGGGGUGGCAAUUCAGCUCGCUGUUUUCAAGCCAGCUCGUGUUCGGCUCGAAAUGAGCUCGAGAUCGAAUCGCUCGUUCAGUAAACAAGCCGAACACGAGCUGAAUUUUUCGGCUCAUUUAAUAAACGAGCCGAACACGAGCUGUGGUC
RNAcentral lists this long non-coding RNA (1335 nucleotides) under Ananas comosus (pineapple). Its description in RNAcentral is "long non-coding RNA (ACOM_LNC012323)". Lineage: Eukaryota; Viridiplantae; Streptophyta; Magnoliopsida; Poales; Bromeliaceae. The record is from RNAcentral.